CUCCCGGUUGAUCCUGCCGGACCCGACUGCUAUCAGAGUGGGACUAAGCCAUGCGAGUCAACAUAGCAAUAUGUGGCAUACGGCUCAGUAACACGUAGUCAACAUGCCCAGGGGACGUGGAUAACCUCGGGAAACUGAGGAUAAACCGCGAUAAGUCACUACUUCUGGAAUGGGUAAUGACUCAAAUCUACAUGGCCCCUGGAUUGGACUGCGGCCGAUCAGGCUGUUGGUGAGGUAAUGGCCCACCAAACCUGUAACCGGUACGGGCUCUGAGAGGAGGAGCCCGGAGAUGGGCACUGAGACAAGGGCCCAGGCCCUAUGGGGCGCAGCAGGCGCGAAACCUCUGCAAUAGGCGAAAGCCUGACAGGGUUACUCUGAGUGAUUUCCGUUAAGGAGAUCUUUUGGCACCUCUAAAAAUGGUGCAGAAUAAGGGGUGGGCAAGUCUGGUGUCAGCCGCCGCGGUAAUACCAGCACCCCGAGUGGUCGGGACGUUUAUUGGGCCUAAAGCAUCCGUAGCCGGUUCUACAAGUCUUCCGUUAAAUCCACCUGCUUAACAGAUGGGCUGCGGAAGAUACUAUAGAGCUAGGAGGCGGGAGAGGCAAGCGGUACUCGAUGGGUAGGGGUAAAAUCCGUUGAUCCAUUGAAGACCACCAGUGGCGAAGGCGGCUUGCCAGAACGCGCUCGACGGUGAGGGAUGAAAGCUGGGGGAGCAAACCGGAUUAGAUACCCGGGUAGUCCCAGCUGUAAACGAUGCAGACUCGGUGAUGAGUUGGCUUCUUGCCAACUCAGUGCCGCAGGGAAGCCGUUAAGUUUGCCGCCUGGGGAGUACGGUCGCAAGACUGAAACUUAAAGGAAUUGGCGGGGGAGCA
This 869-nucleotide ribosomal RNA is filed under the name uncultured archaeon. Its description in RNAcentral is "bacterial SSU rRNA". It matches the Rfam family "Archaeal small subunit ribosomal RNA", at positions 1 to 878 of the family's 1478-position model. The record is from RNAcentral.